Molecule: ribosomal RNA, 253 nt
Filed under: uncultured bacterium
Lineage: Bacteria
Description: partial 16S ribosomal RNA
Rfam family: Bacterial small subunit ribosomal RNA
Source: RNAcentral
UACGAACCGUCCAAACGUUAUUCGGAUUUAUUGGGCUUAAAGGGUAUGUAGGCGGCGCUGUCAGUCGGGUGUGAAAUCCCUCGGCUCAACCGAGGAACUGCGCCCGAUACUGCAGCGCUUGAGGGAGACAGAGGUAAGCGGAACUGAUGGUGGAGCGGUGAAAUGCGUUGAUAUCAUCAGGAACACCAGUGGCGAAAGCGGCUUACUGGGUCUCUUCUGACGCUGAGAUACGAAAGCUAGGGGAGCGAACGGG